AAAUUUCCUAAUUCUACAAUAAUUAAAAUUCCUAAAUAAAACUCAUAAGCUUCCUAUAUUGCAUCAUUCUCCCCUGGUUGGAGAAAACUCGACCUUGAGUUUUGGAGUAUUAAAGGAUCAAGAAUCAAGUAAGGAGAACACACACUACGAUCUUCUUGGACGGUAGCAAUAAGAAUGACUUGAAGUUUGCUCUCGCUUUUUUAUUCUUGGAAACAUCUGGGUAAAUAAAAUCCAUUAUUAAUUACAAUGCCCAUGGGUAAUUAUGCUUUACAAGGGAAAUAGUAUGCUCUUUGAACAUGAGGAUCUAAUAAUCCUUCAAUUUCCUUUUCACUUUAUGCUUCUUGGGCCUGUCUAUACAAUCCUUGUUUAAUUUAAUUUUAUUUUUUUAGUAUUAUUAUUUUAGGGUAUUUUGGUUUUGGAUUAUUGGCUUUUCAAUUUGAGGGUUGUAAUUGGGUUUGCGCAAAAGAAAAACCCAGAGAUUCUACAUGGAGAGUUGAUAUGUAUUGUCUUUUUUUGGGUGUUUGGUUAGGAAUGGUUUGAUUAAGCCGAGUGGUUGCGUACAGGUUGAUGGAGUCAAGGUUCUUGUUUGCCAGGUCCCAAUUUCUGUGCUAGUUAGUUAUAUCAGAGUUCUUGUGGAUUUC
RNAcentral lists this unclassified non-coding RNA (641 nucleotides) under Hevea brasiliensis (rubber tree). The record is from RNAcentral. Lineage: Eukaryota; Viridiplantae; Streptophyta; Magnoliopsida; Malpighiales; Euphorbiaceae.